Peromyscus maniculatus bairdii (prairie deer mouse) is the source of this 312-nucleotide non-coding RNA. NCBI's taxonomy places the organism in Eukaryota, Metazoa, Chordata, Mammalia, Rodentia, Cricetidae. The record is from RefSeq and is a predicted model, not a curated record.
CGCUGUGGGAAGGCCUGACCAGUGUGGAAUGGAGCCAUGUCAUCGUGCUGCAGCUUUAAAGAAACAGCUGUGUCUGUCUCCAAGGGGGAGAGUUCCGCAGCCUUGACCAGGGGGACAGUGAUUCAGCUGGGUGAUCAGUUUCGCCAGGACCAUCAGUGUUUACGUAGCAUGAUAUGACUCUGGCUAUCUUCAUCACAACUCCUGUUUUGCUGGCUGGGUAACCCCGGAGUCACCUCUACCCUAUAGGACACAUCAAAUCCUGAGAUAGUCACCUGAAGGUAGUAUGCCAGCCGAUGAUGCCCAGUCUGUUGA